RNAcentral lists this long non-coding RNA (299 nucleotides) under Gossypium barbadense (sea-island cotton). Its description in RNAcentral is "long non-coding RNA (GBAR_LNC019596)". Lineage: Eukaryota; Viridiplantae; Streptophyta; Magnoliopsida; Malvales; Malvaceae. The record is from RNAcentral.
CUCUUUGCUUCAAUUUCUAUCAUUGAAUUUGAUGGUGAUUUACUGCGUCGUUUGACUGACAGAAACAUUGACAGCUUCAAGAACUUUGUUGAUAGGUUGUUGAAAUUCCCCGAUCAAGUAAGUUUAGAUUGCUUUAGGCUACAUGAUGGGAUUUCUUCAUGGAAUGAUGGGAUUUCUUCAUGGAAUGAUGGAGAUCAUGAUUUUGAUGUUUCUGGUUGGAUAUGUGCUGCACUGUGCCGUGGUGUUAAGGAAAUUGAUUUGAAAUUAUAUAAUCUUGGGGAUGUUCCACCUGAUGUUCC